CUUCUUUGCUGACGAGCGGCGGACGGGUGAGUAAUGCUUGGGAACAUGCCUUGAGGUGGGGGACAACAGUUGGAAACGACUGCUAAUACCGCAUAAUGUCUACGGACCAAAGGGGGCUUCGGCUCUCGCCUUUAGAUUGGCCCAAGUGGGAUUAGCUAGUUGGUGAGGUAAUGGCUCACCAAGGCGACGAUCCCUAGCUGGUUUGAGAGGAUGAUCAGCCACACUGGGACUGAGACACGGCCCAGACUCCUACGGGAGGCAGCAGUGGGGAAUAUUGCACAAUGGGCGCAAGCCUGAUGCAGCCAUGCCGCGUGUGUGAAGAAGGCCUUCGGGUUGUAAAGCACUUUCAGUCAGGAGGAAAGGUUAACGGUUAAUACCCGCUAGCUGUGACGUUACUGACAGAAGAAGCACCGGCUAACUCCGUGCCAGCAGCCGCGGUAAUACGGAGGGUGCGAGCGUUAAUCGGAAUUACUGGGCGUAAAGCGUACGCAGGCGGUUUGUUAAGCGAGAUGUGAAAGCCCCGGGCUCAACCUGGGAACUGCAUUUCGAACUGGCAAACUAGAGUGUGAUAGAGGGUGGUAGAAUUUCAGGUGUAGCGG
RNAcentral lists this ribosomal RNA (599 nucleotides) under Pseudoalteromonas fuliginea. RNAcentral's name for it is "16S ribosomal RNA". It matches the Rfam family "Bacterial small subunit ribosomal RNA", at positions 80 to 681 of the family's 1533-position model. Lineage: Bacteria; Pseudomonadati; Pseudomonadota; Gammaproteobacteria; Alteromonadales; Pseudoalteromonadaceae. The record is from RNAcentral.